AAGUCGAACGCCCCGCAAGGGGAGUGGCAGACGGGUGAGUAACGCGUGGGAAUCUACCGUGCCCUACGGAACAACAGUUGGAAACGACUGCUAAUACCGUAUACGCCCUACGGGGGAAAGAUUUAUCGGGGUAUGAUGAGCCCGCGUUGGAUUAGCUAGUUGGUGGGGUAAAGGCCUACCAAGGCGACGAUCCAUAGCUGGUCUGAGAGGAUGAUCAGCCACAUUGGGACUGAGACACGGCCCAAACUCCUACGGGAGGCAGCAGUGGGGAAUAUUGGACAAUGGGCGCAAGCCUGAUCCAGCCAUGCCGCGUGAGUGAUGAAGGUCUUAGGAUUGUAAAGCUCUUUCACCGGAGAAGAUAAUGACGGUAUCCGGAGAAGAAGCCCCGGCUAACUUCGUGCCAGCAGCCGCGGUAAUACGAAGGGGGCUAGCGUUGUUCGGAAUUACUGGGCGUAAAGCGCACGUAGGCGGAUAUUUAAGUCAGGGGUGAAAUCCCAGAGCUCAACUCUGGAACUGCCUUUGAUACUGGGUAUCUUGAGUAUGGAAGAGGUGAGUGGAAU
RNAcentral lists this ribosomal RNA (560 nucleotides) under Rhizobium sp. E26. RNAcentral's name for it is "bacterial SSU rRNA". It matches the Rfam family "Bacterial small subunit ribosomal RNA", at positions 59 to 667 of the family's 1533-position model. The record is from RNAcentral. Lineage: Bacteria; Pseudomonadati; Pseudomonadota; Alphaproteobacteria; Hyphomicrobiales; Rhizobiaceae.